Molecule: long non-coding RNA, 876 nt
Organism: Felis catus (domestic cat)
Lineage: Eukaryota; Metazoa; Chordata; Mammalia; Carnivora; Felidae
Exons: 2
Source: RefSeq, a predicted model, not a curated record
CUCCACUUGGAUCUGGAUUCUGUAUGAGCCUUUCUUUGGUAAAAAGUUGAAAACGACUGAUCUUUUCUAAGCCCCUUCAAUUUAUAAAGGAGAAAGCUGAGAUGGAACAAAGGCAAAGGAUUUGUCAAGGUCACCCAAGUGAGUUAGCGGUGGAUUAGGGCUUUAGGAGGGGACAGGCCCAGUGGCUGGGGCGGACUCCUGAGCACGCUGACUCGGUGGCCUGACCCACCCUUCCAGAAGUCUUGUGGGUUGCGGUGGGUUGCCCUCGCUUGGCUGGCACAGGACUGAGGACCCAGAAAACUUGAGUGCUGUUGUCACAGGCUGUCUCUGGGAGCGCUCUGUGCUGGAACAGACGAGGCCCCUUUAAUAAGCCCUGAAGACCACUGAUGCCACAGCUUGUGAAGACCUGGGGUCAAGUCCCAAGGAUGCCACUAACCUCAGUGCGAUUCUGGAUUUGUUAUGUGUUCUCUCUGAGCCUCCAUUUAGCUCGCCCGUGUGUGCACGUCUCCUCCCCUUGCACCUUACCUUACCCCAUUCAACAGGGUUGACAAAGAACUCGGGACCCCAACACUGGGGGAACUGGCCGAGAGGAGUGACGACGUCUGCUUCUGUUCUCUGUCUGUGUCUUUACCCUCCUUACAGGGACACCGAGUUGCAAUGGAGGCUAAGAGCUGCCUCUAACGUAAAAGAAGAGGAGGAGAGUUCCUGUAGUUCCCGGAGCUCGAGAGUCAGGGGCACUUGAGGUGACAGCCAGCAACUGAGAAGUUGAGCCAAGUGAAGAUGGGGAGCCAAAGGAAAGAUGAGACUCGGAAGACGGACCUGGAAUCACGGAAUUGCGCGCGACUCUUGGGGAUUAAACAACUAACUUUUUUGGUA